This 460-nucleotide ribosomal RNA is filed under the name uncultured bacterium. Its description in RNAcentral is "partial 16S ribosomal RNA". It matches the Rfam family "Bacterial small subunit ribosomal RNA", at positions 338 to 795 of the family's 1533-position model. The record is from RNAcentral.
CCUACGGGUGGCAGCAGUGAGGAAUAUUGGUCAAUGGGCGCAAGCCUGAUCCAGCCAAGUCGCGUGAGGGAUGACGGUCCUAUGGAUUGUAAACCUCUUUUGUCGGGGAGCAAGGCCCGCCACGUGUGGCGUGAAGGAGAGUACCCGAAGAAAAAGCAUCGGCUAACUCCGUGCCAGCAGCCGCGGUAAUACGGAGGAUGCGAGCGUUAUCCGGAUUUAUUGGGUUUAAAGGGUGCGUAGGCGGAAGGUUAAGUCAGCGGUCAAAUGUCGGUGCUCAACACCGGCCUGCCGUUGAAACUGGUCAUCUUGAGUGAGCGAGAAGUAUGCGGAAUGCGUGGUGUAGCGGUGAAAUGCAUAGAUAUCACGCAGAACUCCGAGUGCGAAGGCAGCAUACCGGCGCUCAACUGACGCUGAGGCACGAAAGCGUGGGGAGCGAACAGGAUUAGAUACCCUAGUAGUC